RNAcentral lists this long non-coding RNA (7401 nucleotides) under Vitis vinifera (wine grape). RNAcentral's name for it is "long non-coding RNA (VVIN_LNC000011)". Lineage: Eukaryota; Viridiplantae; Streptophyta; Magnoliopsida; Vitales; Vitaceae. The record is from RNAcentral.
AGUUUGAGGAAUACAAAUAUAAGGAGCAUCCCCAAAUCCCUCAGGAACCUACGGCACCUUGAGACCUUGGAUCUUAAGCAAACUCUGGUAAAAGAGCUACCCAAAGCAGUCUACAACUUGAUAAACUUCGCCACUUGCUGGUUUAUGCCUACAAUAUGGGAAGUGUUGUAACUUUUGACGCCGUUUAAGGGUUCGCUGUACCGAGAAAGAUCGGAGCAAUGAAGAACCUGCAAAAGCUAUCAUUUGUAAAGGCGAGAAGGCAGAACAGAAUGAUACAGGAGCUCAAAAAUCUGACAAAGCUGAGGAAGCUGGGCAUUGUAGAACUAGCAGAAGAAGAUGGCAACAGCUUGUGUCACUCAAUUGAGAAGAUGCCGGAUCUCCUUUCCUUGGAUGUUACCUCCCUUAGUAAGGGGGAGCCUCUGGAGCUUGAUCCAAUGGCCAACCCCCGCGUCUUCUUCAACGCCUGUAUCUCAAAGGGCACUUGCAAAGGUUGCAAAGUGGGUAUCUUCUCUUCAUGACCUGGUGAGAAUACGCCUAAAAUGGUCCUUAUUGUCCCAAGACAACCCAAUUGAAGCUCCUCAAGAUCUCCCAAACCUGAUGGAGCUGCAGUUACUUGAUGCAUACACUGGAACCCAGUUGGACUUCAACUCGGGAAAAUUUCAGAAGCUUAAGAUAUUAGACCUUGAGCAAUUGAAACAGCUGAGGUUUAUCAUAAUGGAAGAUGGCACAUUGCCUUGCCUACAAAAGCUGAUCAUAAGGCAAUGCAAUGAGCUGAAACAUGUCCCCGUAGGUAUUGACGGGCUCCAUCAUCUUAAUGAGCUGCACCUCUGCGAUAUGCCUGAGAAAUUCGUGGCCCAGCUGAAGAAAAGAGGCGGUGAACUUCGCCAUUUGCUUCACCGUUGUUUGCAUAUUCUCUCAUAUCAACAGGGCCGGUUGGUGGAAGAUCUUUCAUGACCAUAUCUGAUACAUCUGUGACAUGCACCAGUGGAUCAAGAAUCAGGUUUGUAUAACUACAUGGAUUCAUCGCUUGCUUCUUUUGGGUUCCUCAAAAUGCAUUGUUGUCAAUUACUUUACAAGCAAUAUUACUGCAUGUUCCUAGGAAAUCAUGGUGGGAUAUCUAGCAUUUAUACAUAUCAAGCAUCAAAUAUCUGUGGAGUCGUAUUUGAAACUGCCAUUGUUGAAACUACCCCGAGACUCGGUACAAGACAUAGUCGGAUUAUGGUCAGGUGUCAAGCCCCCGAGACUUCCAAUUGAUUUUUAUGCUUCUUGUAUUAAUAAUAGUGUUGGAUUGUAAGGACUGAAUUGUUUUUAUUGUGUUUGGCUUAAAAUGUCGGGAUCAAGUUCCACGUUAAGCUUGUGGGGAUAGCCAUGGACGUAGAAAACGAAUUGAUUAUCAAACCACUCUAAAAAUCUCCUCCUUCUUUUUUAUUUUAUUUUAUUUUUAUUUUUAUUUUUAUUUUCUAUUUGUGUAUGGUUUAAUUAAUUAACAAAUAAUGGCCCUAUGCCUACGUGAAAUUGACUUGUGAAUUUUUAAUAUUAUGUUUUUAUGAUUAUUUUAGAUGAUACUAAAUAUAAUAGUGAUUUGCUUUAAUUUUUAGUUUGUUGAAUGCAUUCUCAUCCAAUUGUAUUUAUAUAUUUUCUCUAAAAUUUUUAUUAUUUUAAAAUUAUUCUAUACUUUUUUAAUUAAUCAAGCAGUUUAUUGUGCCUACAGUCUGGUCUAAUUGAAUAAAAUAUGAUUUAUUAAUGUCAACUCAGCCCAAUCAAUUCUUUCACAGAGGAACAAUGGUUUAUUAAUGUGCAAAUUAAUAGCGUUUUAUAAAUAAAAUAUUCUUAAUUUCCUCUACAAAAACAAAUUAGUGUUAAAUAAACCGAUAAUAAUAUUUUUAUUGGGAUUUUUCAAUGGCAUUAUAAAGUCACCAAUCAAUUAAUAAAAAAUGGUCAUUGAAGUCACCAUGAUUUAUUUAUUUAUUUAUUUUUACCUCGAUAAUGAUCUUAAUUAUCGUUUUUUCUGGAUUAUUUGAGUAUUAAAUUUUUUACAAAAGUAACUUUUAAUCUUUUUUUUUACUUGAAAAUUUUUAUUAAAAAAAAUUCUAUAUAGGGCAUAUAAUUAAGAUUAGGUUUAUUAAUAAAUGAAAUGUUUUUCUUAGCUGCAAUCAUGUUGACCCAUAAAUUUGUAUGAGAAAAUUUGAAUUUCUUUAUUUUCUUUUACAUGACCCAAAGGUUAAUAUAAAUUGUCUUGAAGUAGCAGUAAAGUGAUCAUUUUAAGUACCACAAAUACUUGUGAUUUGGAAAUAAUCAAAGUCUUCCCAAUGGGGACGACCCUAGGUUCCAAUACAUUAGCACUGAUUUCUUUGAGUUGUAUAUGAUGCUUCUUUUCAUGUUAUUUACGACAUUGACUACGGGAAUCCCUUGCACACGCAAGUGGCAUUCAUUAAAAGUUAAGACCACUACUUUCAAGGUCCUAUGUCCAGCUUCUGAGUAACAACAGUAUGAUUGAGUUCAACAACAAAUUUGAGAAUUUUUUUUUUAACCCAAAGUGGGUUUGGGUACAAUGUUGUCCCAUCGAAAUGAUAAAAAUAUCGAUAAUAACGGAUAUAUUAGUAUUUCGAUUUUAUAGAUAUAUUGAAGAUAUAUGUUGGAUAUUUAAAAAAAAAAUAUCGAUAGACUUAAAAUUGAUCAAAAUUCAUAAAAAUGUUAAAAAAAAUCACGUAUAAAUAUAAUUAAAAGUAUAACAAACAUUUUAAAAUUAUUUUAUUGAAAAAUUUAAUUUAUGUAUAAUAUGAUUUGUCAUAUUUGAUAAUAAUAUCAUAUGCGUCGAUAAAAAAAUAUGAAUUUUAUAAGUGUACAUUUAUUAUUAAAUUGCAUAAAAUAUUAUUGCAUAAUAAUAUUAUGAUAUUUGAUUAUAAUAUAUUUAAUUUUAAAAUAUAUUUAAUAUUAAAAUUGUGAUCCAUUUAAUUCAAUUAUAUUAAAUAAUAUAAAAUAAAUGAUGAUAUAUAUACCGUUGUGAUAUUUAAUAAUAAUUUUUAUAACUUGAAAACAUACUUUAUGUAUAUUAAUCUAAUUUGGAUGUAUUUAAUGACAAAAAAAUAAUGAUAAUUUGUAUAAGUAUUUUUUAUUUUAAAAUUUUGACAAUUUUAUUCAAAAAUAUAUAUUUAUUUUAUAUGUAAUUAUUAUAUAAAAGUCACAAUAACUAAAAUUAAUUCAUUUAGAAUAUUUUUUUUAUUAAUUUAUAAUAUAUAUGUAUAUAUUAUAAAUUAAUCUUGAAAGAUGGUUGUCCGGCAGGUGUUGGUGCCUUGGUGGGCGAUCUAUAUAAAUAAUAUGUAAAUUUAAUCAACAACAGCAUGGUUGCCUGGCUGGUGUUGGUGGGCGAGCGUGAGCCUGAGGGUCGUUCGAAUAUCCUUGGUUCCAUUCUUCUUGAUUUACCUUUGCCUUUCAAAAAUUCUAAUUCUUGCAAUCCCACAUCGGUUCAUGACACCAAAAAGGUGUAUUUAAACAUUGGAGUGGUGGAGGUCUCACUUGUGUUCAGAGCACGUUGGGCCCAAGCUGCAUUUUGGGCCUAAACAUUGGGCCAGGGCCAAAAUUAAGAGUUUUAGGGGCAAAAGGAAUUGAGAAUGAUGACGUGGCAGCGAUAUCGUGAAAAUAUCGAGAAAAAUGGCGAUUUUAAUGGAAAUAUCGCCGAUAUUUCCUCUAUAAGGUUAUAUUUAAUAUUAAAUAAAAAUGAUUUUAAUUAAUUUUUGACUUUUUUUAACAUAUAUAAAAUAUUAUUUUUUUAUAAAAAUAAAUUAUAAAUAUUUAUAAUAUUUAUUUAUUUGUAAACUAUAUUUAUUUUUAAUACAAUUUAAAAGUAAAAAAUUAAAAAAUAAAUAAAUAAACAGAUAUGGUGAAUAUGAUAAUCGUUGAUUUUCAUGAUUCUUAGUAAAAAUAAAAGAAAAUAAAAACGAAAAAAAGAAGAAGAAAAACAUAUAGAUUUAAUGUGUUCAAUAGAUUACGUACACGGAAUAGGGAAUAAAACUUUCAUUAUCUUUGAAAUUAGGGUUAUAUAUUAAAAUUUUAUUAUUAUCAUUAUCAUUUAUAUUUUAUUUUAUUUUUAAAUAAAUUUAUAUUUUUAAUAUUUUAAAAUAAAAACAUUCAAAUUAAAAAGAUAAAUAUAAAAAAUUUAAAAGUGAAGUAGUAAUUUUUUAGAAUGGAAUUAAUGAAAUAGAUUAUGAUUUUUUUAAUAUUUAUAUUUUUUAUAUUUAAUUAUCAUAUAAAUAAUAUAAAAAAGACUUAUUAAAAAAUUAUAAUAUUAAAAUUUUAUAUUUUUAUUAAUCAAUUAAAUAUAAUUUAAAAUAAAAUAAUUAAAAUUAAGUUUUUUUAAUGAUGAAGCUUAACAAAUUUAAAUUGAAUAUAUAUUAUCAAAGAGCAUCAUAAUGGUAAAUAUUCGAUAUUUCCCAUAGUGAUUUAAUCCAAAUAAAGAAGGAUAAUUAAUAAUUAUUUAUAUAGAGAGAGGAAAAUUGUUUCAUGAUUUGUUUUUUUUUUUUUUAUCUCUACUAAAUAUAAAAAUCAACCCAAUUCUCUCACUCGGGAAGGCCCUAUUUUCCUCUGCCACUGUCAAUCCUCGCAGGUACUAAUCUAAUCAUGUUAUUAUUAUUAUUAUUAUUAUUAUUAUUAUUAUUAUUUUUGCAACCCCGUUUGAUCCCCAAGAAAAUCCAUCCCCCAUUCGAUUUCCGGGAAAAUUCAUCCUCGUUUGAUUUCCGAGAAAAUCCAUGCAAAACCCCCCAAAGAAAUCCAAAAAAAUUGCUUUUUCUUUGCUCCCUGUGUUUUCUGGAUCUGUUCUAGGGGUCUCUUUGCUUUUGUGCCAUUGGAUUUAAAUUUCACGAAGCCUAAAUCCACGAUUUUUGAGCCAGACUGAAAAAAACAACCUUUGCCUGCAAAUCCACGAUUUAAGAGUUAUAUUUAGUAUUUUUGCAGUCAGUGAAUGUGCCGCCACAUGUUUGAAUGAUUGGAACUUCAAAAACCAGUAACUUGUUUUUGCCAAAGCAAAGGAUUGAAUAUUUCCUUGGUGGAUUUUUGGGAACUGAUCAUGCACCCACAAGAAAUCUCCAUCAAGCAUGAAGUUGUCUUAUUCGAAGGUUGACCCUUGGUGCAUGGGGUCAUUCAAUAAGGUUAAUAAAUUGUCUGGAGGGAGCAGUAAAUGAUAACAUAUAGCCGUGUGCUUGGAAAUAUUCGAAGUCUUCCCAAUGGGGAAGACUCUAGGAUCCAAUACAAUCCUGGUUUUCUUGAUUUAUAUCUAAUGCUUGUGGUUGUAUUAUUUGUGUCAUUGACUCCUGAAGUCUUUUGGAAGUAUACUUGGAUGUGGCAUUCAUCAGUAGUUAAAAUCAUUGUUUUCAGGGCCCCUACGCCAAGCUCCCAAGCAACAGCAAGGUGAAGAGAAAGAGCAUGAACCCAGAUCUAGCUGGAGGGAUGGCAGACGGGGCUGUGUCGUUUCUUCUUCAAAAACUUGAAGCUUUUGCAAGUACAGAAUGGAACUUGCAGGAAAAUAUCAGGAAUGGAGUCCGUGAGUUACAAAGGGAGCUGUGGAGAAUAGAAGCCAUGAUGAGAGAUGCUGAUGCAAAGAAAGAUUAUGAUAACCAAUUCAACGUGUGGAUUCAAGAAGUUCGCACAGAAGCUUAUGCCAUUGAGGAUGUUCUUGACCUGUUCAGACUCCACUGGGAUCAAGAAUCAGUGUGGCGCCACUUGAAAAUGUGGCACUCCAUUAGCAACCUGAUACAGGAUAUUAACACAAGGCUCGCGAUCAUUAAGCAGACAAAGGAGAGGUACCAGAUCAUUAAGGAGAUAAAUGAGAGGUAUCCGAUGAUGGUCCCCACCAAUUCAGUUAGUUCGGAAACCAACACAUACCAUAAUGUGAGAGCAGCUCCUUUGAUCCUCGGCUGGGGCAAUAACACCAUGGGCAUUGAUGAGCCUAAAAGGAAGCUGGUUUCUUGGGCAUCAAAGUCGAAUCAGAAACUCAAGGUUAUGUUCCUAGUGGGGAUGGCUGGGUUGGGCAAGACAACGCUUGCCUACCGCGUGUACGAGGAGGUGAAGGAGCACUUUGAUUGCCAUGCCUGGAUCAUUGCUUCAAAGUACCAAACCAUAGAUGAAACCUUACGGAGCUUGUUGGAGGAACUUGGCUCUUCAACAGAGGGGUCCGGCAUAGUUCUUCUCAUGCAGAGACUGCACAAUUUUCUCCAGCACAAACGGUAUGUUAUAGUUGUUGACAAUUUAUUGGUAAAAGAUGUGUGGGAAUCCAUUAGACUUGCCUUGCCAGAUGGUAACGACAAUAGAAUAAUUAUCACUACAAGAAGAGGCGAUAUAGCUAAUUCUUGCAGAGAUGAUUCUAUUGAUAUCCACAAGGUUCAGCCACUGUCACUGCAAUGGGCUGAGCAACUCUUCUAUAAGAAAGCUUUCUUAGGAGAUGGCAGCUGUCCUUCAGGCUUGGAGGAAGUCUCGAAAUCCAUCUUACAGAAAUGUGAUGGAUUACCACUUGGGAUUAUUGAAAUCGGUAGGGUCUUGCGGAGUAAGCCUCGUCAAACUAAAUACGAGUGGAAAAAAUUACAUGAUAGCCUUGAGUCUGAAUUGAGAAGCGGUGGUGCCCUUUCAGAUAUUAUGAGAGUGUUUUCUGCAAGUUACAAGGAUUUACCUUACCAUCUCAAGUAUUGCUUCUUAUACAUGAGUAUUUUUCCUGAGAAUAAUCCAGUUAAGCGAAGAAGACUGAUUCGGCUAUGGAUAGCUGAGGGAUUUGUAACAGAGGAGAGAGGCAAGACUCUUGAAGAGGUGGGGGAAGAGUACCUGAAUGAGCUUAUUGGCAGGAGUCUGAUAAAGGCAAAUGAAAUGGACUUUGAUGGAAGGCCAAUAACUGUUGGAGUCCAUAGUCUCAUGCAUAGGAUAAUUCUCUCAGUUUCACAAGAGGAGAACUUCUGUACUGUUUGUGCAGGACCAGAAGGAAACUUGACUGACAAACCCCGGCGCCUAUCCAUCCAGACGGGAAACUUUGAUGUGUCUCAGGACUUAACCUGUGUUCGAACUUUUUUCAGUUUCAGUACAGGUAGGAUAAACAUUGGUUCGAAUUUCAAACUAUUGAAGGUUUUGGACAUACAAAGCACUCCUUUGGGAAACUUUCCAAGUGCCAUUACAGAUCUUGUGCUCUUGAGGUACUUGAGUUUGAGGAAUACAAAUAUAAGGAGCAUCCCCAAAUCCCUCAGGAACCUACGGCACCUUGAGACCUUGGAUCUUAAGCAGACUUUGGUAACAAAGGUACCCAAAGCAGUCCUACAAUUGGAGAAACUUCGCCAUCUGCUGGUUUAUUGCUACAAUAUGGAAAGUGCACCUUUUGAUAUUGUUCAGGGGUUCAAGGCACCAAAGGGGAUCGACGCAUUGAAGAAC